GUGAUAUUGUCACAUGACCUUUUCUUUAAUUUCUCCCAAAUGGACAAAAAGAAAAUGGUGCAUUUGACCAAAUUUCAGACAGAGGUCUCAAUCCCAUACUCCAGCACAGAGCUGAAUACACUUGGAACACACAAUUAAGUGCCAAGCGGACGUGAGAUUUCCCAAGACUGCAGACCACUGAUGACACCCAAGGGAAUGGUCACCAGCCAAAAUGACUUGAUGAAGAUGGGAAUCCAGAAAUUAUUAGGGUUAAAUGAGGGUUUCCAACUCAGAGUCACUGCAGUGAACAGCUUGGAUCAUCUGGCACAACAUUCCAAAAGGUGCUUACAGUGUGCAGCUUCCCAUGGCUUGUGUUCAAAACAGGAAAAUGACAGCUGGCUACUUCUCCAUUCUUCACCUGGUUACUGGACCUACUCGUCAUGGGUAACGUCAGAAACCUCCAAUGGGGGCCCGUAUGGUACCUGGAGCCCAGGACAAGGUUUCCGAACAUGAAAUGUUCCUGAAAGAGUCUGGUGAUAUUUCCUGAACCUCUGCAGAGGUUUGCAACAACAACUGCACCCAGAAACAUAGAAACGGAGAAAACAGGUGCAGGAGUAGGCCAUUCUCAGCAAGAGGCCCAACAGUCACUUCUCUAGCUUCCCACAGAGUUCUGG
Chiloscyllium plagiosum (whitespotted bambooshark) is the source of this 653-nucleotide non-coding RNA. NCBI's taxonomy places the organism in Eukaryota, Metazoa, Chordata, Chondrichthyes, Orectolobiformes, Hemiscylliidae. The record is from RefSeq and is a predicted model, not a curated record.